This 253-nucleotide ribosomal RNA is filed under the name uncultured bacterium. Its description in RNAcentral is "partial 16S ribosomal RNA". It matches the Rfam family "Bacterial small subunit ribosomal RNA", at positions 524 to 776 of the family's 1533-position model. The record is from RNAcentral.
UCCGGAGGGUGCAAACGUUGCUCGGAAUCAUUGGGCGUAAAGCGCACGUAGGCGGUCUGUUAAGUCGGAUGUGAAAGCCCCGGGCUCAACCCGGGAAGUGCAUACGAAACUGGCGGACUUGAAUAUGGAAGAGGGUCGCGGAAUUCCCGGUGUAGAGGUGAAAUUCGUAGAUAUCGGGAGGAACACCAGUGGCGAAGGCGGCGACCUGGGCCAAUAUUGACGCUAAUGUGCGAAAGCGUGGGGAGCAAACAGG